GGCGACGGGUGAGUACACGUGGGCAAUCUGCCCUGCACUCUGGGACAAGCCCUGGAAACGGGGUCUAAUACCGGAUAACACUACGGACCUCAUGGUCUGUGGUUGAAAGCUCCGGCGGUGCAGGAUGAGCCCGCGGCCUAUCAGCUUGUUGGUGAGGUAAUGGCUCACCAAGGCGACGACGGGUAGCCGGCCUGAGAGGGCGACCGGCCACACUGGGACUGAGACACGGCCCAGACUCCUACGGGAGGCAGCAGUGGGGAAUAUUGCACAAUGGGCGAAAGCCUGAUGCAGCGACGCCGCGUGAGGGAUGACGGCCUUCGGGUUGUAAACCUCUUUCAGCAGGGAAGAAGCGCAAGUGACGGUACCUGCAGAAGAAGCGCCGGCUAACUACGUGCCAGCAGCCGGGGGUAAUACG
RNAcentral lists this ribosomal RNA (415 nucleotides) under Kitasatospora sp. MBT68. Its description in RNAcentral is "bacterial SSU rRNA". It matches the Rfam family "Bacterial small subunit ribosomal RNA", at positions 97 to 527 of the family's 1533-position model. The record is from RNAcentral. Lineage: Bacteria; Bacillati; Actinomycetota; Actinomycetes; Kitasatosporales; Streptomycetaceae.